Molecule: long non-coding RNA, 2527 nt
Organism: Lagopus muta (rock ptarmigan)
Lineage: Eukaryota; Metazoa; Chordata; Aves; Galliformes; Phasianidae
Exons: 3
Source: RefSeq, a predicted model, not a curated record
GCACCGGCCGACGGCAGCGCCGACCGCGACGGCCUCGAGGGCCGCCGCUCCGUAUGGCGCCCCCUCGCGGCGCGCGGCGAGAGCGGAGGGCCGAAGUAAAUAAAUACAGCGCGUGGCGGAGAGCAGCCGUCGGGUGGGAGGAGGUGGGGAUGGGAGCGGAGGGACGGGCAUCUUCCGGCAGCAGCCGCGUUGUGAGAUGCUGCCGCAGGAGUCUCCAUAUGGUUUGUGUCAUUGCCCCAGGACAAAAGAGACAUCCAGGAUUUGGACAGAGUUUCUGCUGCUGUUCUUCCAAAGCCUCCAUCCCAGCUGCUCACAUCAGGAACAAAGCGAGGCCCUAACCCUUGGCAAUUCCUAGCAGCAGAAAGGGCCACCAGAGCUAGCGGUGUUGGUGAGCAGCAGCAGGCACAGGUUUGUAAGCACUUAAUGGAAGAAAGGCAGAUGCCAUUGGUAAGAGUGGUCUGGCAUAAACAGGAAUCCCAGACCUUCCCUUCAGUGUCUUUGGUCUGAGGUGUUUGUCUGGCGGUUGUUUUCUUUGUAUGUGUUUGAGAUCAAAGGAGAAUAUGGUACUUCAAACAAAAUGUGCAAGGGCCCACCCUUCCUGAAUUGCACUUUUGAUAAUGUGUUCAGUCCUGCUGCUGUAAUACUCCGCAGAAGGGUUUUUUCUUUCUUUUUUUUUUUAUAAACUCCACUCCUUUUUAUUAUAUGUCACAAGAGAAUUUUAAUAGAUGUUUUUGUAAGAUUACUUUACAGUCUCUGAUCCUACACUUCUUUCCACAUAGUCUGUGAGAGGAGCCAGCAGCUUUAACUCAUCAGAAGUUUGUGUGAUGUAUUACUUACAGUGGAUGUAGGUGCCAGAAGUGACCUGUAAACCUAAUACUAAAUUGGGGCUACAAAAUUAAUUUCACUUAGAUUGUGGAAAUUAGACUAGAAAUAGAAUUCCUCUGGGAGCUGUGUAAACCUUGACAUUGAUUUAAUGUAAUUCUUUCCUUAAGAGGGUAACUUUAAAUUGUAUAACAAUACAUAGUUUUAACCAGCACAUAUUUCUAGCAAAUUGUGCAGUAAGACAAGUAUUAACAGGAACAUUCAGUGGUAUUUCUGAAUUUAAAGAUCAGUGUGUAGCUCUGUGGAUGCUGACAAGAAGGUCAGAUGUCAUACCCCUCCCUCCCCCUCUGCCCCCCCACCUGAUCAGAUAGGUCAAGUUAUAAAGCCUGUGUGUCAUUGCCAAGCAUCUCCAUUCAGUCCAUAAAUUGUAAUUUAUAAUAUACAAAUUAUAUCCAAAUCACACUAAUUUACCUUGACUGGGGAGAAUUUGUUAACUUGGAUCCAGCAAUUAAAGGUCUGAUUAGCUCCAGAACAAAAAUGUUUAUUGUGUUACUGAAUGGCAAGUGAGUGUUUGUUUUAUGCCUUAAUUUAGACUGAAAUUAUUCUGAAUCAUUCAAAUGUUUAUUUUUGCUCUGGAUGACAGCAUAUUCUAUACUAAAAAGCAUAUUUUCUUCUUGAGAUGUAGAAAUAUUUUGUUGUUUUUAAAGGGAACAUGUAUAGGUUUCUUUCUUCAGGUUAUUGCCUGAGCAGGCUGUUUGUACAAGUCUGAUUUAACAUAUGCACUGUCUUUGCACGAGAGCUCAUGCAUUAGAUUACAUUCACGAGGGAGAAUUUUGAGUACUUAAGCUUAAUUUCACCUAUUAAAACACUAAUUUUGUAUGUUAUACUUUAAGUAACUUGAAAUACCCUGACACCCUGUAAAAUAUUUGACUGUUUUAAGCAGUAAGAGCGCUCUGAAUGUUCGGUCAUCUCAAAUUUGCUUCAAAUUUUCUGGCAUCUGUUACUGACCAAGUCUUCUGUAUUAUUUAACAUUGUAUUGCCAUGGUCCUUUGCUAAGCAUGUAGGUGCAGAAGCAAUUCUAACAACUAUCUGACUGCAAUCAGAGUACAGCUGCACACCAGACCUUAAUCAUUUCAGUUAUUCUGAGUAACUGCUUACAGUCUGCCUUCUGCAACACCUCAUUCAUUUGAGCCGCUGUUAAACAUUCUCUUGUAUGAGAAGAGUUUUUAAAAGGAAUUACUUCUUCCAGAAGUGGAAUAUGGUGAUAGCAGGUAGCCCUUGUAUUCUUCCUCCCUUCUGCAUGCUUAGGGCUAAUCUUCUGAUCUUGUUAGUUCCUUUUAAUCUCUAAAUUGUCUGUAUGUCCUCCCAAGACAGCUCUGCCCUUUCCUUUCCUUGAUGAUUUCAAGUUGUUUGUUGUUUCCAAGGUUAACUGUCAAGGGACAAGCUGUAAGAUCAUGCAUAUUUCCCCUACUGUAGUUAUUUGCAAAGAAAAGUAAGCUAUGAUGAAUGAGCAUCCACACUAAAAUAGAAAAUCGCAUACGAAAAUCUACCACCCCCAAGGACUUGAAAGGGCUUUUGGCAGCUAAAAAAAUACGCAUGUUCUCCUAACUCAUGAUGAAUAAAGGGACAGGAAGUAAAUUUUGCAGAAAUACAUUUUUAAAAAUUAACACCUAGAUUUAAAAUUAAAAAAAAAAAAAAAAAAAAA